UGGGGAAUAUUGCACAAUGGGCGCAAGCCUGAUGCAGCCAUGCCGCGUGUAUGAAGAAGGCCUUCGGGUUGUAAAGUACUUUCAGUCGGGAGGAAGGUGGUAAGGUUAAUAACCUUAUCAAUUGACGUUACCGACAGAAGAAGCACCGGCUAACUCCGUGCCAGCAGCCGCGGUAAUACGGAGGGUGCAAGCGUUAAUCGGAAUUACUGGGCGUAAAGCGCACGCAGGCGGUUGAUUGAGUCAGAUGUGAAAUCCCCGGGCUUAACCCGGGAAUUGCAUCUGAUACUGGUCAGCUAGAGUCUUGUAGAGGGGGGUAGAAUUCCAUGUGUAGCGGUGAAAUGCGUAGAGAUGUGGAGGAAUACCGGUGGCGAAGGCGGCCCCCUGGACAAAGACUCACGCUCAGGUGCGAAAGCGUGGGGAGCAAACAGG
Molecule: ribosomal RNA, 429 nt
Filed under: Chloroflexota bacterium
Lineage: Bacteria; Bacillati; Chloroflexota
Description: Chloroflexi bacterium partial 16S ribosomal RNA
Rfam family: Bacterial small subunit ribosomal RNA
Source: RNAcentral